CCUACGGGUGUCAGCAGUGAGGAAUAUUGGUCAAUGGACGAGAGUCUUACCCAGCCAAGUCGCGUGAAGGAUGACUGCCCUAUGGGUUGUAAACUUCUUUUCUCUGGGAAUAAAACGUUCCACGUGUGGGAUUUUGUAUGUACCCUAUGAUUAAGGAUAGGCUAACUCCGUGCCAGCAGCCGCGGUAAUACGGAGGAUCCGAACGUUAUCCGUCUUUAUUGGGGUUAAAGGGAGCGUAGGUGGAUGGUUAAUUUAGUUGUGAAAGUGUGGGGCUCAACCGGAAAAUUGCAGGUGAAACUGGCAGUCUUGAGUACAGUAGAGGUGGGCGGAAUUCGUGGUGUAGCGGUGAAAUGCUUAGAUAUCACGAAGAACUCCGAUUGCGAAGGCAGUUCACUGGACUGCAACUGACACUGAGGCUCGAAAGUGUGGGUAUCAAACAGGAGUAGAUACCCCAGUAGUC
This 460-nucleotide ribosomal RNA is filed under the name uncultured bacterium. Its description in RNAcentral is "partial 16S ribosomal RNA". It matches the Rfam family "Bacterial small subunit ribosomal RNA", at positions 338 to 795 of the family's 1533-position model. The record is from RNAcentral.